GUGCCAGCCGCCGCGGUAAUACCGGCAGCCCGAGUGAUGGCCGAUCUUAUUGGGCCUAAAGCGUCCGUAGCUGGCCGCGCAAGUCCAUCGGAAAAUCCACCCGCCCAACGGGUGGGCGUCCGGUGGAAACUGCGUGGCUUGGGACCGGAAGACUCGAGGGGUACGUCCGGGGUAGGAGUGAAAUCCCAUAAUCCUGGACGGACCGCCGGUGGCGAAAGCGCCUCGAGAGGACGGACCCGACGGUGAGGAACGAAAGCCAGGGUCUCGAACCGGAUUAGAUACCCCAGUAGUCC
This 293-nucleotide ribosomal RNA is filed under the name uncultured bacterium. RNAcentral's name for it is "partial 16S ribosomal RNA". It matches the Rfam family "Archaeal small subunit ribosomal RNA", at positions 455 to 747 of the family's 1478-position model. The record is from RNAcentral.